AGAUUGAACGCUGGCGGUAGGCCUAACACAUGCAAGUCGAGCGCGAAAGUGCCUUCGGGUGCGAGUAGAGCGGCGGACGGGUGCGUAACGCGUAGGAAUCUGCCUGGUAGUGGGGGAUAACUCGGGGAAACUCGAGCUAAUACCGCAUACGCCCCAUGGGGGAAAGCGGGGGACCUUCGGGCCUCGCGCUAUCAGAUGAGCCUGCGUCGGAUUAGCUAGUUGGUAGGUAAUGGCCUACCAAGGCGACGAUCCGUAGCUGGUCUGAGAGGAUGAUCAGCCACACUGGGACUGAGACACGGCCCAGACUCCUACGGGAGGCAGCAGUGGGGGAAUAUUGGACAAUGGGGGCAACCUGAUCCAGCCAUACCGCGUGUGUGAAGAAGGCCUUCGGGUUG
RNAcentral lists this ribosomal RNA (395 nucleotides) under uncultured soil bacterium. RNAcentral describes it as "bacterial SSU rRNA". It matches the Rfam family "Bacterial small subunit ribosomal RNA", at positions 26 to 425 of the family's 1533-position model. The record is from RNAcentral.